Molecule: ribosomal RNA, 174 nt
Filed under: Bacillus subtilis
Lineage: Bacteria; Bacillati; Bacillota; Bacilli; Caryophanales; Bacillaceae
Description: partial 16S ribosomal RNA
Rfam family: Bacterial small subunit ribosomal RNA
Source: RNAcentral
GUGAAUACGUUCCCGGGCCUUGUACACACCGCCCGUCACACCACGAGAGUUUGUAACACCCGAAGUCGGUGAGGUAACCUUUUGGAGCCAGCCGCCGAAGGUGGGACAGAUGAUUGGGGUGAAGUCGUAACAAGGUAGCCGUAUCGGAAGGUGCGGCUGGAUCACCUCCUUUCU